Molecule: long non-coding RNA, 606 nt
Organism: Brienomyrus brachyistius
Lineage: Eukaryota; Metazoa; Chordata; Actinopteri; Osteoglossiformes; Mormyridae
Exons: 3
Source: RefSeq, a predicted model, not a curated record
GACUGCUGGGUCACUUUCUGAGCUGAAAUAGCCAGGAUGGGGGCAAACUUUCUCAAGGAAGGUUCCUCCAGGGAUGGCAGACUGAGCUCCAGUGGAUCAGGCAGGGCUCACAAGCUGGGCUUUAAUCCCCUGGUGAAGCUGGUGGCGGAUGUGAUCUUGGCAUGGCGAGCCAGAGUUGGAGUGACAGCAGGCCCUAUGCCUGCCAAGUUUCCUUUUUACAUCCCAUCAUAACGUGGAAACCAACCCCUCCCGACUGCAGCUUGGCCAACCAAUCAGAGGCUCCAAUUACUUGUGAAGGAUUUCUUUUCACCACUUCUGCAAAGAAGUCUGACAUCACUAAGAAUCGCAGAUGACCUUGGCGUGCAAACGUGGCUCUCACCAUGCUUAAAACUGCAGGCCUGCUCUUCGUUGAAUAAAAGAUGGUGACUGCUAGCAGCAUGUAACUCUUCAUGGAGGACGCGGAGACGACUGCAAUUUUAUCAUUUGACGUGAUCCCCUACGGGCUGCUGGGCUACAGACAUUGAGGCUCUGGGGCCUCCUGAGCUGAGAGCUGUGCGUGCCGAUCUGACCUUACUAUCUGGAGGAUAGUCAGCUGCCCCCCCCCCC